UUCAGUUGGACCGUGUGUAUUCCAAUGUCAAGAAGCGAUAUCUGCAUUUCUUUCAAAUGUGCCGACAACUAAUCCUGACGCUAUGGGUAAUUUCUUCAUGGUCGGGUUUUGGAAACAGUGAGAGCUUUUGCACAAACAUCGGCAAUAUUGCAGAGAUUGCUACAGAUAGAAAUCUUUGGGUGCCCAACCCCCAGCAGUUGCGAAUGUCACCUGUGACAUUAUUGCAGUGUGUGCGGCGAUGCCUUGGCUGGACCCUAUGCAAGUCGAUUGAUUUUGAUAUUCCAAAAUUUCACUGUUUCCUAAACCAAAUGAACGUUUCUGAUGUAGGUCUGUCGCAUUUGAAAGUCAAACCAGGAUAUGUACACAGAACACGCCCUCAGACACUUCUACAACUGGCCGCAUUGCAGGAAGAGUGGGGAAGAAUUUUGACCAAUCCCAGUCUGUGCCAAGACUGUGUCGAGCAAUAAUUGCUUCCAAUGGUGGCCAUACAAAGUACUGACUUUGACGCCAUCAUGUGAACUCACGUAAACAGAAGCACAAUAAUACAGGCUGCUGUUGUGUUGGUGAACUCUUUGUCUAUAUACGUGUGAAUUGUCACCUUUUGACCAUUAAAAUUACAUGAAAUAAUUGCUCUUAAAUUAAAGCAGUAAAUUCUUCUAAACAUG
Molecule: long non-coding RNA, 665 nt
Organism: Haliotis rubra (blacklip abalone)
Lineage: Eukaryota; Metazoa; Mollusca; Gastropoda; Lepetellida; Haliotidae
Exons: 2
Source: RefSeq, a predicted model, not a curated record